RNAcentral lists this transfer RNA (72 nucleotides) under Flavobacteriales bacterium. Its description in RNAcentral is "tRNA-Asp". It matches the Rfam family "tRNA". Rfam says of the family: Transfer RNA (tRNA) molecules are approximately 80 nucleotides in length. Their secondary structure includes four short double-helical elements and three loops (D, anti-codon, and T loops). The record is from RNAcentral. Lineage: Bacteria; Pseudomonadati; Bacteroidota; Flavobacteriia; Flavobacteriales.
GGUGCCGUAGUUGAGCGGUACAAUGCCCGGCUGUCUACCGGGAGUUCACGGGUUCGAUCCCCGUCGGCACCG